RNAcentral lists this ribosomal RNA (419 nucleotides) under uncultured bacterium. Its description in RNAcentral is "bacterial SSU rRNA". It matches the Rfam family "Bacterial small subunit ribosomal RNA", at positions 363 to 774 of the family's 1533-position model. The record is from RNAcentral.
UUUGGACGAUGGGCGCAAGCCUGAUCCAGCAAUGCCGCGUGCAGGAUGAAGGCCUUCGGGUUGUAAACUGCUUUUGUACGGAACGAAAAAGCUCUCUCUAAUACAGGGGGUGAAUGACGGUACCGUAAGAAUAAGCACCGGCUAACUACGUGCCAGCAGCCGCGGUAAUACGUAGGGUGCAAGCGUUAAUCGGAAUUACUGGGCGUAAAGCGUGCGCAGGCGGUUUUGUAAGACAGAGGUGAAAUCCCCGGGCUCAACCUGGGAACUGCCUUUGUGACUGCAAAGCUGGAGUGCGGCAGAGGGAGAUGGAACUCCGCGUGUUGCAGUGAAAUGCGUAGUUAUGCGGAGGAACACCGAUGGCGAAGGCAAUCCCCUGGGCCUGCACUGACGCUCAUGCACGAAAGCGUGGGGAGCAAACA